RNAcentral lists this ribosomal RNA (253 nucleotides) under uncultured bacterium. RNAcentral describes it as "partial 16S ribosomal RNA". It matches the Rfam family "Bacterial small subunit ribosomal RNA", at positions 524 to 776 of the family's 1533-position model. The record is from RNAcentral.
UACGUAGGGUGCGAGCGUUGUCCGGAAUUACUGGGCGUAAAGAGCUCGUAGGUGGUUUGUCGCGUUGUUCGUGAAAACUCACAGCUUAACUGUGGGCGUGCGGGCGAUACGGGCAGACUGGAGUACUGCAGGGGAGACUGGAAUUCCUGGUGUAGCGGUGAAAUGUGUAGAGAUCGGGAGGAACACCGGUGGCGAAGGCGGGUCUCUGGGCAACUCCUGACGCUGAGGCGCGAAAGCGUGGGGAGCAAACGGG